UGCUUCAUGUAUAAUCAUAUGAAGUAAUCUCCUGCCCAGUGAUAAAAUUAAAUGGCCGCGGUAUCCUAACCGUGCAAAGGUAGCAUAAUCACUUGCCUAUUAAUUGUAGGCUAGAAUGAAUGGGGUAACGAAAUAAUAACUUUCUCAACUAAAUAAACAAAAACUUAUAUCUAAGUGAAGAAGCUUAGAUAAAACAAAAGGACAAGAAGACCCUAUAGAGCUUUAGUUAAAAUAUAUCAAAUAUAUUUACACUUCGGUUGGGGCGACCUAGGAAAAAUCAUCCUAAUAUAUAAGAAACAUAUUUCAUAAAACGAACCUAAAUAGAUCAAAGACCAAGCUACCUUAGGGAUAACAGGCUAAUCUAACUAUAGAGCUCAUAUCUAAAGUAAGGAUUGGCACCUCGAUGUUGGCUUAGAGAAUCAGACUGGCGCAGCAGUCAGUAAAUGAGGGUUUGUUCAACCCAUAAUUCUC
Molecule: ribosomal RNA, 471 nt
Filed under: Enchytraeus dichaetus
Lineage: Eukaryota; Metazoa; Annelida; Clitellata; Enchytraeida; Enchytraeidae
Description: partial 16S ribosomal RNA
Rfam family: Bacterial large subunit ribosomal RNA
Source: RNAcentral